RNAcentral lists this ribosomal RNA (243 nucleotides) under uncultured bacterium. RNAcentral describes it as "partial 16S ribosomal RNA". It matches the Rfam family "Bacterial small subunit ribosomal RNA", at positions 793 to 1034 of the family's 1533-position model. The record is from RNAcentral.
GUCCACGCCCUAAACGAUGUCAACUAGCCGUUGGAGGAAUUUAAUCCUUUAGUGGCGCAGCUAACGCGUUAAGUUGACCGCCUGGGGAGUACGGCCGCAAGGUUAAAACUCAAAGGAAUUGACGGGGGCCCGCACAAGCGGUGGAGCAUGUGGUUUAAUUCGAUGCAACGCGAAGAACCUUACCAGGCCUUGACAUCCUGAGAACUUUCUAGAGAUAGAUUGGUGCCUUCGGGAACUCAGUGA